Chelonia mydas (Green sea turtle) is the source of this 215-nucleotide long non-coding RNA. RefSeq lists it as uncharacterized. The transcript is spliced from 2 exons. Lineage: Eukaryota; Metazoa; Chordata; Testudines; Cheloniidae. The record is from RefSeq and is a predicted model, not a curated record.
AAAUAAUGUAGCCAUUUAAAGAGAAGAUUCAGACUAGAGGGAAAACACAGUCUCUAAUGCCUAUGGCACAGGAUUGGAGUCAGGAAUCUGGAUUCGAAUCUCAGCUCUGGCAUAAGCUUCCUGUGUGACUUUAGCCUGGUCAAAUGAGGCAUUCAGCACAUGAGUAUCUAGGAACCUUCAGGCCACCUGCUGCUUUUCCAUCAGCGUUACAGAAC